UACGUAGGGUGCAAGCGUUAUUCGGAUUCACUGGGCGUAAAGGGUGCGCAGGCGGCCGAGUGUGUGAGGCGUGAAAGCCCGGGGCUUAACCCCGGAAUUGCACCUCAAACUACACGGCUAGAGCAUUGGAGAGGGUAGCAGAAUUCAUGGUGUAGCAGUGAAAUGCGUAGAUAUCAUGAGGAAUACCAGAGGCGAAGGCGGCUACCUGGACAAUUGCUGACGCUCAGGCACGAAAGCGUGGGGAGCAAAAGGG
This 253-nucleotide ribosomal RNA is filed under the name uncultured bacterium. RNAcentral's name for it is "partial 16S ribosomal RNA". It matches the Rfam family "Bacterial small subunit ribosomal RNA", at positions 524 to 776 of the family's 1533-position model. The record is from RNAcentral.